This 108-nucleotide small nuclear RNA is filed under the name Propithecus coquereli (Coquerel's sifaka). Lineage: Eukaryota; Metazoa; Chordata; Mammalia; Primates; Indriidae. The record is from RNAcentral.
GUGCUCACUUCGGCAGCACAUAUACUAAAAUUGGAACGAUACAGAGAAGAUUAGCAUGGCCCCUGUGCAAGGCUGACACGCAAAAAAAGAAAAAGGAAAAAAAGAAAA